Molecule: RNA transcript, 3735 nt
Organism: Pongo pygmaeus (Bornean orangutan)
Lineage: Eukaryota; Metazoa; Chordata; Mammalia; Primates; Hominidae
Gene name: histone H2B type 1-J-like
Exons: 3
Source: RefSeq, a predicted model, not a curated record
UUUUCUUGGAGCUUUGUAGCUAGACAGUGCUAUGCCAGAGCCAGCGAAGUCCGCUCCUGUCCCGAAAAAGGGCUCCAAGAAGGCGGUGACUAAAGCACAGAAGAAGGACGGCAAGAAGCGCAAGCGCAGCCGCAAGGAGAGCUAUUCCAUCUAUGUGUACAAGGUGCUGAAGCAGGUCCACCCUGACACCGGUAUUUCGUCCAAGGCCAUGGGCAUCAUGAAUUCGUUUGUGAACGACAUUUUCGAGCGCAUUGCAGGUGAGGCUUCUCGCCUGGCGCAUUAUAACAAGCGCUCGACCAUCACCUCUAGGGAGAUCCAGACGGCUGUGCGCCUGCUGCUGCCCGGGGAGUUGGCCAAGCACGCCGUGUCCGAGGGCACCAAGGCCGUCACCAAGUACACCAGCGCUAAGUAAACGAUCUGCCAUUCUAAUCCCCUUAGAGUUAAGUAAGGAGAUGGGAGAUUUUCUAUUGUAAGUUCGAAACCAAUUAAAAUACUCGUCGGUCCCCCAUCGGAUAGUGAUUUGGAACAGUGCCAAGUUGCAGCGGUUGUCAGUUUGAAUUUGCCCGGGCAACGCCUGCCCUUCCUCUUUGCAUCCUGAUUGGUUGUUGUGUCCAGGAAGUCCACGGUCGGCUUGGGAUAUAGAAAUCAGAAUAAAAAGCAGGGUUUGUAAGAAAAGGAGGAUUGCGACUGACUCAUGGGUAUAUUGUACAGCCACAGGUGAAAAUUUGUAAAGGCUAGGUUUUCGAAAACUAUACAAAGUUAAGUUGAAAAGAACCCAGCUAAUUCUCCUGUUACUCAGAAGACUAAACUGCCUAAGGGGUAAUGAAACAAAUGAUCACCUUAUGCGUUAUUUUCAUCUUGCUAGUGUCCCCUUAAGAAUAAGGACAAAGAGUUAAUACUUUGCUUGAAAAACUGAAUGGGACUGGGCGGGGUGGCUCAUGCCUGUAAUCCCAGCACUUUGGGAGGCCGGGGCUGGUGGAUCACUUGAGGUCAGGAGAUCGAGAGCAGCCUGGCCAACAUGGUGAAACCCCAUCCCUACUAAAAAUACAAAAAUUAGCCCGAUGUGCUGGUGGGACCCUGUAAUCCCAGCUACUCAGGAGGCUGACGCAGGAGAAUCACUUGACCCCAGGAGGCAUAGGUUGCAGUGAGCCGAGAUCAUGGCAGUGCACUCCAGCCUGGGCAACAGAAGGGACUCCAUCUCAAAAAAAAAAAAAAAGAAAAAAGAAAAAAAGAAAAACUGAAUGCUGCAAGUUCAACCCAUUACUAACCAGUUCCUGAAGAAUUGGCUUUUUUCCCUCUGGCUUUUUCCUUCAUUUUAAAAAGGGAUGUAAUAGUGCCUCUUGAGCAAAUAGUUUUGGUAUACUUAGAACAAUGUCCUGUACAUAGUAAGCAUUCAAUAUAUGUUGGCUAAUACUACUGAUGCCUGUUGUAACAGUAGUAUUAGAAGCCGGAACUCAAGUAUGUCCAUAAAUGGCAAUAGAGAAAAGAAUUGCUGCCACUCAGCACAAUUUGGAGUAUUGAAUGUCAUUGUUUACUUUUUCUAGAAGGAGAGUGACCUAAGACACUGAUCUAAACUGAAUGUACAUGGCUAAUGGUUUGGAUAGACAGAGAUUUUUUAAGUGGGCAAAAGUGGAGGUUGUGUUGACAAGAAGCUUUGGGGAACAGUGAUAUGGAUGAAUUUCUCAGAAUGGUCCCAGAGUAUGAGAAUAAUGUCCCACGUGAAUGCUAACUUAAAUUCCCACUCUUCAGAGGAGGCUAUCAACAAUCAGGUACACAUCAACCAUAUGGCUGUCAUGUAGUCUCUUUUCCUAUCACCCCACUUAUUGCCCAAGUGAUUUACUUGUAAACAAUGUGACCAGGGUGGUAGGCAAUGGUAGAGGUGAUACUUGAGCUCUGUAGUAUAGACUUAGCUCACCAAGGCUGACCUCUGGAUACUGAUGCUGCUAAGUGUCCCAUAUGUCAGGGGAAGUAUUCUUGCAUUCUUGCAAGUAUUUUGUCAUGGAUGAGGCAGGGAUUUGUCUUCACUGAGAUAAACACUCUAGAUUUCGAUAUGCUUCACUUUCUUACAUGCUAUUGCUAGCAGGACCAUCUGUGAACUUACUGAACGCUUUAUACCUCAUAUCUCAACAUUUUUUGGACCCAUUUCUAUACAUUAUACAGAAAGGGUAAGGUAAUGCAUGGAUGACCAUGGGACUUGGUAGUCCUAAUGUGUACCACAUUCCUUAUAAGCAGAAGUCUGAAUUUUUGGAAGACUCAGUUAAAGUGGCAUGUAGUCAUUUAGCACCCUCUUGGAGUACUGUUCAAUUUUGGACGUUGUAGAUGAGCUGAAUAGUGACUAAGAAAAAGCAUAAUUUCUUCUGUAGCCAAAAUGCAUUGGUUAAAGAAAGGAGAGGUAGGAAUGGAGUGGUACCUCUCAUAUUACACUUAAUAAUAGCCAACUCAAAAAAGUUAUGCUUUUCAUGUUUCCAACUCAGGGCUCUCUGCUGUUUUUUUGUUUUAGAAAAGGAGGAGUACAUACUCCCACCAGUAGUCAUGGAGAUGCCUCUGUUUAUUGAUUUACCAAAAAUGAUUGAUUUUUAUAUGAAGUUUAAAGCAGUUUAAAUUACAUUCAUUUGCUGGCUUAGAGAACUGUGGGAAGUCUUGACUUAAUGGGUGUUGGGCUUUUGGACUCCUCCUCUGUCAGUUUUCUUUUUGUUUCUGUUUCCCCCCCUUCCCCCACCCCUCCCCUCUCUUUUUAGGGCCAUAGGCAAGGAGCCGUGACAGACAAUUUGAGUGUUUUUAAAAAUACUCUCAUAAAAAAUAUACCUUCGACUGGGUGCAGUGGCUCACGCAUGUAAUCCCAGCACUUUGGGAGGCUGAGGCAGGCACAUCACUUAAGGUCAGGAGUUAGAGAUCAGCCUGGCCAACAUGGUGAAACCUGGUCUUUACUAAAAACACAAAAAUAAGCCAGUCAUGAUGGUGCGUGCCUGUAGUUCCAGCUACUUGGGAGCCUGAGGCAGGAGAAUCACUUGAACCUGCAAGGCAGAGGUUGCAAUGAGCUGAAAUCGUGCUACUGCACUCCAGCCUGGGCAACACAGCGAGACUCUGUUUCAAAAAAAAAAAAAAAAGCAAAACAUUUUUUCCCCAACACUUUUCAAAGAAUGGUUUAAAAGCAAUGACAAUCCAUGAUCAGUGAGAAUUCCCACCCAGACUAUGGUCUCUCAAUUCCUUUUUCAAAGGGGCAGUCAGGCUACUUGGAGACUUGGGUAAAUUUAUGGAUUUUAAUACAUUCAGGAGGAACAGCAAUCAAAUGCCAUAUUUGGAUCUGGUGGGAUCUCAUUCAGAUAAAAUCAAUAUAAAAAAUAUUUGAGACAAUUCCGGAUUUUCUUUCUUUAAGGGCUAGGUAUUGGAUAAUGUUACACAUCAUUUUUUAAAUUUUCUUAGGUGUAAAAUCUUAGCGUAUUUUCUUUAUAUCCAUAUCUGUUAGGAUACUUGUGAAAAUAUUCAUGAUUAAAAUCACAUAUUUGGGAUUUCAUGUUUCAGAUAUUUUUUAGACUCCCUCAUCUGUCAGUGUGGGUGCGGAUAAUGAAACAAAAUGGGCAAGAUGUUGGUAAUUGUUGAAACCUGUGCGACGAGACUUGGGAAGUGCAGGAUUCUCUAUAUUUUUGUGUCUACUUCAGGAUGUCCAUGACCACUCCCUUUCCCCUCCAAAAAAAAGUUAAAAAAAAAAAAAAACUGGCUAAUCAGUGAACAUAU